This 924-nucleotide long non-coding RNA is filed under the name Xyrichtys novacula (pearly razorfish). The record is from RNAcentral. Lineage: Eukaryota; Metazoa; Chordata; Actinopteri; Labriformes; Labridae.
GCAGAACCACGAAGAUGACGGAUCAGUUCUUUCUCAGGAUGUUUUUACUCUGUGGGAGGAUUUUUGGAUUUGAAUAAAACAUCAUAACCUGUUCAGUUGAAGCUGAAGGAUUUUAUUGAAGAAGAGCGGGUGAUGUUUGAAGCAGCAGGAGGAGCCAGGUGGUGGAUGUGGAGGAGAAAAUCACACAGACAGGAGUCACCGAGUCUCCUGAGGACUGGAGGGUUUGAACAGUUUGUUUCCGCAGCGCGUGUUCUGCCUGCUGGGUUUUAUUAAUGAACUGUAUGUUUGCUGGCAUAUUGAUCUCUUCGCAGAUUGACAUAUUUGCUUGUUAGUUUCUUUCCUCCUCGCCGGGAUGUUCGCUCAUGUUUGUUGCUAUGGCAGUCGACCUACAGCUGCUCGGAUAUCGAUUUCUGCAUCAGCUCCGGUAAGUUGGGGGUCUGUGUCGGUCUUUGUAGCAGAGCAGUUUCAGUUGUUCUGUGAGUUUUAACAUCUUUUUAUAGCUUUGAAUCAUCUUCGCAGGAUUUUCCUCUUUGGAUUCAACUUCUGCAGAAUCAUCUCCACCGUCGGCGCUCUGACACACCUCCACAUUUCUCACUCACAUCAGAGCUGCGAACGAAAGAGCGACUGAGCUGGAAUAUUGUAAAGGAGACAUAACAAAGUCGACGUACACGAUCUGAGAGUGAAAUGUUAAACUAACUUUGACAGUAAGAGUUUGAUUGUUACCUGUUCAAGAAAUCUCCUGAUCUCAGACAGCUAAUCAAUACUCAAGCUUCAAGGUGCAGCUUCACAGCGAGAGAGGGAGAGAGUGAGAGAGACAGAGUGCAGUGAAGCAGCGGUGUGCCGCCGCUGAACAGAGACUCCUGAUACUCUCACUGAUGUCUAUUUACACCGAACUAAAACUUCACUAAACUCCAAUAAACAAAA